This 599-nucleotide ribosomal RNA is filed under the name uncultured bacterium. Its description in RNAcentral is "bacterial SSU rRNA". It matches the Rfam family "Bacterial small subunit ribosomal RNA", at positions 46 to 642 of the family's 1533-position model. The record is from RNAcentral.
GCUUAAUACAUGCAAGUCGUGGGUGUAGAGAGGUGCUUGCACUUCUUGAGACCGGCAAACGGGUGCGGAACACGUACACAACCUUCCUUUUAGUGGGGGAUAGCCCAGGGAAACUUGGAUUAAUACCCCGUAACAUGUUGGUGAGGCAUCUCACUGAUAUUAAAGCAGCGAUGCGCUAUGAGACGGGUGUGCGUAUGAUUAGGUAGUUGGGGGGGUAACGGCCCACCAAGCCAACGAUCAUUAACUGGUGUGAGAGCACGACCAGUCACACGGGCACUGAGACACGGGCCCGACUCCUACGGGAGGCAGCAGUAAGGAAUAUUGGUCAAUGGACGCAAGUCUGAACCAGCCAUGCCGCGUGGAGGAUGAGGUCCUCUGGAUUGUAAACUUCUUUUAUCUGGGACGAAAAAAGGGAAUUCUUUCUCGUCUGACGGUACCAGAUGAAUAAGCACCGGCUAACUCCGUGCCAGCAGCCGCGGUAAUACGGAGGGUGCAAGCGUAUCCGGAUUCACUGGGUUUAAAGGGAGCGUAGGUGGGCUAGUAAGUCAGUGGUGAAAUCUCCGAGCUUAACUGGAAACUGCCAUUGAUACUAUUGGUCU